Molecule: ribosomal RNA, 464 nt
Filed under: uncultured bacterium
Lineage: Bacteria
Description: bacterial SSU rRNA
Rfam family: Bacterial small subunit ribosomal RNA
Source: RNAcentral
UCCUACGGGGGGCAGCAGUAAGGAAUAUUGGUCAAUGGGCGCAAGCCUGAACCAGCCAUGCCGCGUGCAGGAAGACGGCCCUAUGGGUUGUAAACUGCUUUUGUACGGGAAAAAACCUCCGGUCGUGAACCGGAGCUGAUGGUACCGUAAGAAUAAGCAUCGGCUAACUCCGUGCCAGCAGCCGCGGUAAUACGGAGGAUGCAAGCGUUAUCCGGAUUCAUUGGGUUUAAAGGGUGCGCAGGCGGAAUGGUAAGUCAGUGGUGAAAUCCUGCAGCUUAACUGCAGAACUGCCAUUGAUACUGCCGUUCUUGAGUAUAGUUGAAGUGGGCGGAAUGUGUCAUGUAGCGGUGAAAUGCUUAGAUAUGACACAGAACACCGAUCGCGAAGGCAGCUCGCUAAGCUAUAACUGACGCUCAUGCACGAAAGCGUGGGGAUCAAACAGGAUUAGAUACCCCGGUAGUCCA